AAGCAAAUUUAUUAAAAUGUGUCCAUUACUGAAUAAUGACUCUUUAAAGGCAGUAUAUAAUAAUAAUAUAUAAUAAUGACUGUCUUUAAAGACAGUACAUAAAAACAGUUUAUAGUGACAUGAAGUUUUGGAAAAAAAAAAAAAAAAAGAAGACAGUCAUAAUAUCCAUUACCUGAACUUACAAUUGUCUAGGAAGGAAAUCCCAUCUUCAUUUAUUCCUAGAUCUCUAAUUAAAAGCUCUGCCAUAAAUCCCCAGCAUCUGCAUUUCUAUUGUAUUGUAUUUAUUGUGUUGCAUCAAGAUUCACUGAAAGAAGUUAUAGAGGACUCUUGACGCAUUACACAAACUUUUCUCUUGAAGUAGAUUUAGUGAGGGUUACAAAAUCUAUCUUUAAGGAAGAUUCAAUAAAGUAUAUGAGGAAAUAAUUUGGAGUUGACUGUAAAUAAGAAACAUUCUCAGCCUCACACAGGAAAUUACUGAAGUCUAUUUGGCGUCACCAGUUUACAUCAAACAGGGAAGACGGGCUCUUGGUGUUUUGCAUUUAACAUUGUCUCUCCAUACCCAGUGCCAGCCUUCACUUUUAGAACAAGAAGAUUUCUAGUUUUUGUUAAAAAUACAAGUGCCCCUUCCCAGGCAUGCAGGAUUUCUCAUAGGCUCCCUAUGAUGGUAGGGGUGGGGUUUGCUGCCUAGGUGAGCUACCAGGUGUAGCAGUGCCCCUCAAGAAUUCCUUGGGGCUUGAGGAACAACACGUGGCCAAAGGCUUAUAGGGACAGGUGCAAUCCUAUCAGUUAUAGAUGGGGAAUCUCCUUCGGGUGACAGGCACAGGGAGCACAGCCGUGACUUAGCAGCCCCCAGCUGCCUGUUUCUUUCUUCCUGCAGGAGGGUUUCCCAUGGAGGGCCUUACACCUGCAAACUCUGGCUUGUGUUGCCAGGGCUGCUGGGCCUGUGCUAAGGCAUUUGGAUGCCUCCAUGGUGUCAACGCUACUGGGAGCCUUAGAAGCCGAAAUGCUUGUCAGCACUUGGUAUACCGGAGCUUUGCAGACAACCCCAGAUCCAUCUUCACAGACACAGAGUGAGUGCAGAAACUAUUUUUGGCAACAUCACAGCAAUCCAGAUUUAAUUCUGACACUUCUUUGCCUUCCUGAAAUCCAAGUAAGACAUCUGGCUGCAUUUUCUGUGUAUGUUUGUGAAGUGCUAUUGAAAUCAUUUGUAUCAGUGGUGAAUUUGGAUAUAGAAAUGUGACUAGAAGGUGCAUAUGGGGAGGAGGGGACCAAAAGCCCGGGUUAUGAGUAAAAAAUGAAUGGCAACUCUUCACUGUAUAAUGCGCUUACUGAAAGCUGAGAAUAAGAUGUCAUUCUGAAUAUGCUUCUGUGGACUUUUAACUUUCCGUAGUGCUUCUAUGUUGCUCAGACCCAUGAUUUAUAUGGAAUUAUGCAUAUGCAUGACAUGCGAGGAAGGGGAGAGGAUGGCUCUGCCUGAUUUGUGAGGGAGUCCCUGCCGAAGGCAUCUGUGGUCCUUGCUAAGGGUGUGCUCCCAGCAGCCCCUUAGAAGAAUAGCUGACUUACGAGUUCGUGAGUUAUCAGUUAAUUUAAUAAAAUUUAGGGCGGCCACA
Anser cygnoides (Swan goose) is the source of this 1610-nucleotide long non-coding RNA. Lineage: Eukaryota; Metazoa; Chordata; Aves; Anseriformes; Anatidae. The record is from Ensembl.